RNAcentral lists this small nuclear RNA (143 nucleotides) under Meriones unguiculatus (Mongolian gerbil). Its description in RNAcentral is "U1 spliceosomal RNA (ENSMUGG00000003380.1)". It matches the Rfam family "U1 spliceosomal RNA", at positions 7 to 149 of the family's 166-position model. From Rfam's summary of the family: U1 is a small nuclear RNA (snRNA) component of the spliceosome (involved in pre-mRNA splicing). Its 5' end forms complementary base pairs with the 5' splice junction, thus defining the 5' donor site of an intron. The record is from RNAcentral. Lineage: Eukaryota; Metazoa; Chordata; Mammalia; Rodentia; Muridae.
AAACCUGGCAGGGAGACAUCAGGAUGAGAGAGGUAGCCUUUCCAGGGUGAGGCUCACCCAUUGCACUCAGGGUGCGCCGAUCCCUGUGGUGUCCCCCCAAUUCCGGGAACUCGGCUGUAUGAUUUGUGGUAGUGGGAGACUGU